This 1421-nucleotide long non-coding RNA is filed under the name Triticum aestivum (bread wheat). RNAcentral's name for it is "long non-coding RNA (TAES_LNC010787)". Lineage: Eukaryota; Viridiplantae; Streptophyta; Magnoliopsida; Poales; Poaceae. The record is from RNAcentral.
AUAAGUAUAUUACACUUAAAAGUACGAAAUGCUGGGAUGAACUACACUGUGAGAAAAUCCACUCAAAUUACACAUAAAAUCUGGGACAGGUUAUGCUGCAAGACUGAGACAAAUUACAUUACAAUGCAACAAAUGAGAUAAAAUCACAGUGGAAUUAAAACGGCUAAAAUACACUUAAAGUCUGUAAAUCUGAGAUGAAUUACACAGUAAAACUGACAUAAAGUUACAAUGAAAAUCUGGGAAAAUUACACAUAAAACUACACUGCAAUUACAAUAAAAAUCACCCUAGAAAUUCAGGGUUAAUUACACUAUACAAACUGGGAGAAAUUACCCCUGUAAGACUACAAAACUGAUAUUACACUGGAAGUCUGUGACGACACUGAAAAGAUCUGAUCAAACAAUUGACAACACUGAAAAGGGCCGAGCCAAAAGUACACAGAAAUUAAACUUAAAAUUCAUUCCUGCUAGAAGAAAAACAAACACGGUACAAAGGAGAACUACACCUCCAACAACAAAUCAGGAGCCUAAUUCAUUUGAAUACAAAAAAAGAGCUUGACACGAGCACCUAGCAUCUACCAGUACAUGAGCAGGGGCAAGAGCAGGAAAACACGCAGAAGCAUCAGGGAGCAUCCCGACACGAGCAGGAACGAGCUAGACAUCUACCAGUACAUCUACAACAUCCCGCAUGCUACAACUACAGACAUCCGCCAAGCUACAUCUACAGAAUCCCCAUCAGCUACAGGAACAUGAGCAGCUACAAGUACAUGAGCACCUACAGAUCGCCCUCUCACCUACAGGAACAUGAGCACCUACAGGAACAUCUACAGAAACAUCUACAGAAUCCCUCGCGUCUACAGGAACACGAGCACCUACAGGAACAUCUACAGAUCGCCCUCUCAUCUACAUGAACAGCUACAUCUCCACAGACAAAAGGGGGACAAAGCCGCUGCAUCUACAAACUACAACAGUACAAACAGCAGCGCGCGCGGGACGACCACAACAACCAGAAGCCUAGCAAUCUAGCGGCUGCACCACAUGCGCGAGAGGGCGACAUGAACUGACCUAGAUCUGGGACGAACAAGAGCAGAACAACACAAGCGCGCGACGGGGAGAGAGAGAGAGAGAGGAACAACCAACCGCGACACCGGGGAGCGAAGGGGAAGGGGAGAGAAAUCAAGCUCGAGUGGGAGAAGGUCUCGAAAUCGCCAUGGACGGGGAGAAUCGCCUCCUGCUCCGCCGCUCGAGCUCCCCCGCAGCCUUAUCCAAACAGAGAGGACGAAAUGAAAAGGGAGGAAAGGCACGUUAUCCCAAAUUCAAACGAGACAAAAAUCAGAGCCGGCCGGGCGCGGCGAUAACGGGCACAGAGAAAACCGCACAACACAAAAAAACCGGACCCGGCAACAAGACCAGCACGAAUCUCC